Molecule: transfer RNA, 74 nt
Filed under: Gammaproteobacteria bacterium
Lineage: Bacteria; Pseudomonadati; Pseudomonadota; Gammaproteobacteria
Also listed under: 2 other names
Description: tRNA-Cys
Rfam family: tRNA
About the family: Transfer RNA (tRNA) molecules are approximately 80 nucleotides in length. Their secondary structure includes four short double-helical elements and three loops (D, anti-codon, and T loops).
Source: RNAcentral
GGCGAGUUGGCAGAGUGGUGAUGCAGAGGCCUGCAAAGCCUUGUACAGCGGUUCGAUUCCGCUACUCGCCUCCA